This 259-nucleotide ribosomal RNA is filed under the name uncultured Atopobium sp. RNAcentral describes it as "partial 16S ribosomal RNA". It matches the Rfam family "Bacterial small subunit ribosomal RNA", at positions 97 to 356 of the family's 1533-position model. Lineage: Bacteria; Bacillati; Actinomycetota; Coriobacteriia; Coriobacteriales; Atopobiaceae. The record is from RNAcentral.
GGCGAACGGCUGAGUAACACGUGGGCAACCUGCCCUUUGCACUGGGAUAGCCUCGGGAAACCGAGGUUAAUACCGGAUACUCCAUAUUUGUCGCAUGGCGAAUAUGGGAAAGCUCCGGCGGCAAAGGAUGGGCCCGCGGCCUGUUAGCUAGUUGGUGGGGUAGUGGCCUACCAAGGCAAUGAUGGGUAGCCGGGUUGAGAGACCGACCGGCCAGAUUGGGACUGAGACACGGCCCAGACUCCUACGGGAGGCAGCAGCG